This 233-nucleotide unclassified non-coding RNA is filed under the name soil metagenome. Its description in RNAcentral is "partial internal transcribed spacer 1". The record is from RNAcentral.
UUGAAUUUUAAUGAAGAGUUUGGUUGUAGCUGGCCCAUUCAUUUGGGCAUGUGCACACCUUCCUCUUUCAUCCCACACACACCUGUGAACCUGUGAGACAGAGAUGGGGAAUUUACUUGCUGCUUUUUGGAACUACAAAGGCAAUAGGUUAUUGGACCCCCCCUCUGUCUACUCAAUUAAUAUAAACUCAAUUUAUUUUAAAACGAAUGUAAUGGAUGUAACACAUCUCAUAC